UACGUAGGGAGCAAGCGUUGUCCGGAAUCAUUGGGCGUAAAGCGCGCGUAGGUGGCUUCGUAAGUCCGUUGUGAAAGUCAAAGGCUCAACCUUUGAAAGCCGAUGGAUACUGCGGAGCUAGAGUACGGAAGAGGCGAGUGGAAUUCCUGGUGUAGCGGUGGAAUGCGCAGGAAUAUCAGGAGGAACACCAAUAGCGAAGGCAGCUCGCUGGGACGUUACUGACACUGAGGCGCGAAAGCGUGGGGAGCGAACAGGA
Molecule: ribosomal RNA, 256 nt
Filed under: uncultured bacterium
Lineage: Bacteria
Description: partial 16S ribosomal RNA
Rfam family: Bacterial small subunit ribosomal RNA
Source: RNAcentral